GACGAACGCUGGCGGCGUGCUUAACACAUGCGAGUCGAACGGAAAGGCCCUGCUUUUGUGGGGUGCUCGAGUGGCGAACGGGUGAGUAACACGUGAGUAACCUGCCCUUGACUUUGGGAUAACUUCAGGAACUGGGGCUAAUACCGGAUAGGAGCUCCUGCUGCAUGGUGGGGGUUGGAAAGUUUCGGCGGUUGGGGAUGGACUCGCGGCUUAUCAGCUUGUUGGUGGGGUAGUGGCUUACCAAGGCUUUGACGGGUAGCCGGCCUGAGAGGGGGACCGGCCACAUUGGGACUGAGAUACGGCCCAGACUCCUACGGGAGGCAGCAGGGGGGAAUAUUGCACAAUGUGCGGAAGCCUGAUGCAGCAACGCCGCGUGCGGGAGGACGGCCUUCGGGUGGUAAACCGCUUUCGCCUGUGACGAAGCGUGAGUGACGGUAAUGGGUAAAGAAGCACCGGCUAACUACGG
This 466-nucleotide ribosomal RNA is filed under the name uncultured bacterium. RNAcentral's name for it is "partial 16S ribosomal RNA". It matches the Rfam family "Bacterial small subunit ribosomal RNA", at positions 28 to 506 of the family's 1533-position model. The record is from RNAcentral.